RNAcentral lists this ribosomal RNA (982 nucleotides) under human oral metagenome. RNAcentral's name for it is "bacterial LSU rRNA". It matches the Rfam family "Bacterial large subunit ribosomal RNA", at positions 1945 to 2925 of the family's 2925-position model. The record is from RNAcentral.
ACGGUCCUAAGGUAGCGAAAUUCCUUGUCGGGUAAGUUCCGACCUGCACGAAUGGCAUAAUGAUGGCCAGGCUGUCUCCACCCGAGACUCAGUGAAAUUGAAAUCGCCGUGAAGAUGCGGUGUACCCGCGGCUAGACGGAAAGACCCCGUGAACCUUUACUAUAGCUUGACACUGAACAUUGAAUUUUGAUGUGUAGGAUAGGUGGGAGACUUUGAAGUAGUCACGCCAGUGAUUAUGGAGUCGUCCUUGAAAUACCACCCUUUAACGUUUGAUGUUCUAACGAAGAUUGCGAAACGCGGUCUCGGACAGUGUCUGGUGGGUAGUUUGACUGGGGCGGUCUCCUCCCAAAGCGUAACGGAGGAGCACGAAGGUUUGCUAAUCACGGUCGGACAUCGUGAGGUUAGUGCAAUGGUAUAAGCAAGCUUAACUGCGAGACAGACAAGUCGAGCAGGUACGAAAGUAGGUCAUAGUGAUCCGGUGGUUCUGAAUGGAAGGGCCAUCGCUCAACGGAUAAAAGGUACUCCGGGGAUAACAGGCUGAUACCGCCCAAGAGUUCAUAUCGACGGCGGUGUUUGGCACCUCGAUGUCGGCUCAUCACAUCCUGGGGCUGAAGUAGGUCCCAAGGGUAUGGCUGUUCGCCAUUUAAAGUGGUACGCGAGCUGGGUUUAGAACGUCGUGAGACAGUUCGGUCCCUAUCUGCCGUGGGCGUUGGAGAAUUGAUUGGGGCUGCUCCUAGUACGAGAGGACCGGAGUGGACGCAUCACUGGUGUUCCGGUUGUGUCGCCAGACGCAUUGCCGGGUAGCUACAUGCGGAAGAGAUAAGUGCUGAAAGCAUCUAAGCACGAAACUUGCCAAGAGAUGAGUUCUCCCACACAUCAAGUGUGUAAGGGUUGUUUAAGACUAAGACGUAGAUAGGUGCGGUGUGUAAGUGUAGUGAUACAUUGAGCUAACGCAUACUAAUUGCCCGAGAGGCUUAGCCAU